UGGGUAACCUGCCUCAAAGAGGGGAAUAGCCUCCCGAAAGGGAGAUUAAUACCGCAUAAUAUGUUUAAGUCGCAUGACUUUAACAUCAAAAGGAUUUUUCUUUUAAGAAAUUCCACUUUGAGAUGGACCCGCGGCGCAUUAGCUAGUUGGCGAGGUAACGGCUCACCAAGGCAACGAUGCGUAGCCGACCUGAGAGGGUGAUCGGCCACAUUGGAACUGAGACACGGUCCAGACUCCGUAGGGACG
This 246-nucleotide ribosomal RNA is filed under the name uncultured bacterium. Its description in RNAcentral is "partial 16S ribosomal RNA". It matches the Rfam family "Bacterial small subunit ribosomal RNA", at positions 118 to 348 of the family's 1533-position model. The record is from RNAcentral.